RNAcentral lists this unclassified non-coding RNA (106 nucleotides) under Chryseobacterium sp. RU37D. Its description in RNAcentral is "Flavo-1 RNA". Lineage: Bacteria; Pseudomonadati; Bacteroidota; Flavobacteriia; Flavobacteriales; Weeksellaceae. The record is from RNAcentral.
GCCUAGCCCCGAUCGCAGCAUUUGUUUGAGCUCAUUUUUAGAUUUCGGCGGCGGCAAAGCCGCCGCCGAAAUCUAAAAAUAGCGAGUGCGAAGAGCGGGAAAUAGC